GUAGACGCUAUACUCUAAGAUUAACCCAUGCAUGUUUAUUGAAUAUAAAGAAAAGACGAACAGCUCAGUAACUCUUAUUUGAUUUGAUGUAUUAGGAUUCUAACUAUGUUAAAUUAUAGGUAACAAUAAUACAAUAAGAAUAAGAUCUAUCAGUUAGUUGUUAAGGUAAUGGCUUAACAAGACUAUGACGGAUAACGGUAUUACUUUGUAAUAUUCCGGAGAAGGAGCCUUAGAGAUUGCUACUAAGUCUAAGGAUUGCAGCAGGGGCGAAACUUGACCUAUGAUAUUAUAUUGAGGCAGUUAUGAGUAGUAUUUUAUAAUUAUUGUAGUAUUGUAAGUACAUAUUACAAGAUAAAUCGGAGGGCAAAUCGAGUGCCAGCAGCCGCGGUAAUACUUGUUCCGAUAGUGUGUAUGAUGAUUGAUGCAGUUAAAAAGUCUGUAGUUUAUUUAUAAUAAGCAUUGUAAGGUAUACUGUAUGGUUAGGAGAGAGAUGAAAUGUGAUAACCCUAACUGGAUGAACAGAAGCGAAAGCUGUAUACUUAAAUGUAUUAUUAGAACAAGGACGUAAGCUAGAGGAUCGAAGAUGAUUAGAUACCAUUGUAGUUCUAGCAGUAAACUAUGUUGAAUCAUAGAUAUAUUUUGAUAUAUAUUUAUGUAAAGAAAUUAAGAUUAUAUUGACUCUGGGGAUAGUAUGAUCGCAAGAUUGAAAAUUAAAGAAAUUGACGGAAGAAUACCACAAGGAGUGGAUUGUGCGGCUUAAUUUGACUCAACGCGGGGUAAUUUACCAGGUAUAACAUGAUAUAAUAUUUUAUCAUGAUAGUGGUGCAUGGCCGUUUCCAAUGGAUGCUGUGAAGUAAUGAUUAAUUUCAACAAGAUGUGAGACCCUCAUAUAGACAGAUGUAGUGAUACAUAUGAAGGAGAGGAUUAAAACAGGUCCGUUAUGCCCUAAGAUAAUCUGGGUUGCACGCGCAAUACAAUAAUAUUUGAUAUUAUAAGGGAUAAUAUAAUGUAAGAUAUAUUUGAACAUGGAAUUGCUAGUAAAUUUUAUUUAAUAAGUAGAAUUGAAUGAGUCCCUGUUCUUUGUACACACCGCCCGUCGCUAUCUAAGAUGGUAUUAUCUAUGAACAAAUUUAUAAAGUGAAUAGAUAGUACUAGAUCUGAUAU
Molecule: ribosomal RNA, 1164 nt
Filed under: Nosema sp. ISL-2002-3
Lineage: Eukaryota; Fungi; Microsporidia; Nosematidae
Description: bacterial SSU rRNA
Rfam family: Microsporidia small subunit ribosomal RNA
Source: RNAcentral